RNAcentral lists this long non-coding RNA (264 nucleotides) under Sinocyclocheilus anshuiensis. RNAcentral describes it as "lncRNA (ENSSANG00000051888.1)". The record is from RNAcentral. Lineage: Eukaryota; Metazoa; Chordata; Actinopteri; Cypriniformes; Cyprinidae.
CAGUAUGUCUAAUAAUGUCUGUAUUUCUGUCUUGUCUCUCCAGAAUAAGUGGUGUCUUGUUGGUUGUAAACUCGUCCAGCUGAAGCAGAGCUCUGGGACGUGUGGACAGACAUUGACUGUAAUGAUGGACAUCUGCUCAGGGACAGUCUGUGCAAAGGUAUAACCACUGCGGGUCACGGUGCUGGAAGCUCCAGGGGGAGACCGUACUGAUAUCCCCCUUCUUCAGGCACGCCUUCACACACUCCACCAUUCACUCAUAUCGCA